CUACGGGGUGCAGCAGUGAGGAAUAUUGCACAAUGGAGGAAACUCUGAUGCAGCAACGCCGCGUGGAGGAUGACGCAUUUCGGUGUGUAAACUCCUUUUAUAUGUCAAGAAAAUGACGGUAGCAUAUGAAUAAGCACCGGCUAACUCCGUGCCAGCAGCCGCGGUAAUACGGAGGGUGCAAGCGUUACUCGGAAUCACUGGGCGUAAAGGACGCGUAGGCGGGAUAUCAAGUCAGGUGUGAAAUCCUACAGCUUAACUGUAGAACUGCACUUGAAACUGGUAACCUAGAGUAUGGGAGGGGGAGAUGGAAUUAGUGGUGUAGGGGUAAAAUCCGUAGAUAUCACUAGGAAUACCUAAAGCGAAGGCGAUCUCCUGGAACAUAACUGACGCUAAGGCGUGAAAGCGUGGGGAGCAAACAGGAUUAGAUACUCGCGUAGUC
This 439-nucleotide ribosomal RNA is filed under the name uncultured bacterium. Its description in RNAcentral is "partial 16S ribosomal RNA". It matches the Rfam family "Bacterial small subunit ribosomal RNA", at positions 339 to 795 of the family's 1533-position model. The record is from RNAcentral.